CAAAGCCAAGGCCCAACCCCAACCCUAACCCUAACCCCAGCCGAAGUGGCUCGUGCCCCCGUGAUGCACUCAAACUAGGUGUAUGCGCCAAUGUGCUAAACUUGGUGAAUGCCACUUUGGGUCAACCACCAGUUACCCCUUGCUGCACCCUUCUCGAUGGCCUCGUUGACCUUGAGGCUGCAGUGUGCCUUUGCACUGCCCUCAAAGCAAACAUUUUGGGCAUCAACCUCAACCUUCCAAUCUCACUCAGCUUGCUUCUCAACGUUUGCUCAAGGAAAGUCCCACGUAAUUUCCAAUGUGCUUAAUCGUGGCCCAUGAAACAAGUUGCUUCGUGUUUCCUAGUUGUGGCUUUCCGUUGUUUUUUUUUUCAAAUUCCAUUUAUCAUGGUGUGAUUCUUGUACGUGCAUGGAUGAUUAACUUCUCGUUAUUAAUUCUGUCGCUUUAUUGAUUGUUUUAUCAGGCAAAGUGUCACAUUAAAUAAAUUCCCAAUGCUUAAUUUGUUAUGUAAAGCAAAAGGAAUAAAAAAUAUGGUAGUGUUAUUUAUUUGACAGAUAAAUGAUUAAUGUUACAAAUAUACUUUUUAAUAUUUAUCGCUGCCUUUUUGUUUGUCUUUUCGGUGAAUGAGAGCAUCUGCUGAUCAGAAAAAUUACAUUGCUUUCUAACUUGUGUCCAAUGCGCAACCAGAGGAAAACUAAUUCAAGAAAAGUAUAAAAACAAAAGCAAACAUGCACAACACUGCAAAUGAACCCGUGACGAGUGUACAAGCACUCCACGUGCAUGCACUAUUAUUUUAUUUUUAAAAACUCAGAACAACCAGCUAUUAAACAAAGAUANNNNNNNNNNNNNNNNNNNNNNNNNNNNNNNNNNNNNNNNNNNNNNNNNNNNNNNNNNNNNNNNNNNNNNNNNNNNNNNNNNNNNNNNNNNNNNNNNNNNAGGAAGGUUAAUUCAAUCUACAGUUGGUGACUCUAUCACUUACAAUGAUUAGCCUUAUUCCAAGUACCAUAAGAGACAUGUACAAUAUCCUACUGAUUAUUGUUCUUACAAGCCUUCUGAAGUCCAUAGCCUGGUUCCUAAUCUAGAUCAAUCCCCCAGUUCAGGUGUGUGGAAAUGUCUCUGUCUUCCUCCUAAUGCUUCUAUAUACUUUAACCUUUAGGACGGGUCUCCUGAUUCAUUGGGAUACUCUUACGCCUCGAUGUAAGCCUAGUCGUCCUAGGUCUUAUAUUGUGAGUGAUUUACCUCAGGAUGAUUGAGGUGGGCCCAAUACACAGCCCUUCAAGCCAUAAGUACAGUAUGCGUGAAGUGGGUUUGUAGAGUUCAGGUUGACCGAGGUGUGGCUCAAUACUCAAACCCUCAAGUCAUGAGUAAAGUAUGCACGAAGUGAAUUUGUAGAGUUUGGACCCACUGAGGUUUAACCCAAUACAACUAUCAAGAUUGAAAUUGCAAGGUACUUAUUAAAACACGCCUAUUGAAUUCUUAACAAGUCAACGAUUACAAAUCUUGCAAGAACACUAGUUGAAAUAUUGUGUAAAAUUAUAAAUGAAUGAACCGCAAAUAAAAGUGCCUAAACCAUCCCUGCUUAACAUAGUAUAGAAAAAAAAGAGUAGUGAUACAUGAAUCAUUACCUAUUAUAUACACCCCAUCAAUAUCCAUCUUUUUUUUUUAUCUCUCUCUUUCUAUCACAUUAUAAUAUCUAUCAUACCUAUAUUUCUCCCCCUUUAUAUCCCUAGGUAUUAUAGGACAUGGGUACCAUUAACUAUUUUCCAAAAGAAAAAUAGAAUACUUUUCUCAAUCAAGAUGUCCCCAAUACAAUUUACAAAAGGAAAAUAUUUCUUAAACCCACAACACUGCCUCAACGAGUAUAGCAAACAAAUUAGGGUCUACCUAGGGGUAGGAGGGUGGAGAUAACUUCAUGAAGACUUAAAGUUCCAUUUUUUAUUGUAAAAGAAGUGAUCGAGUGCAACAAUUGAUUAAUUGAUUGAAUAAAUUUGCCUUCCCCACUUCCAGUGUUUAAAAUUGUAUGGGUCUAUUUGGAUAAACUUUUCUAGAAGUAUUUUUAGGAAAAAAAUAAGAAAAAAUAAAAUAAUUUUUUUCAUAAGUUAAAAUGAGUUAUUAGUUAAUUUGUAGAUGUUUUUUUUAUUUUUAUAAGAAAAGUUAUAUGAGAGAAUUUUUACAAAUUAAUUAAUAAUUAAUUAAUGCAAAACUUAUUUUAGUUUAUGGAGAAGUUCAUAUCAUUUUUUUUUUAGAAGUGCUUCCAAAGAAAUUAACCCACACAAAUCCUAUGUCCUUCUAGGAGGUGACUACCAGCAAAAUUGCAUGUGUUUUUCAAAUUGAACCAUCUAAGUUAUCUAUAAAAAAAAUGAACCAUCAAAUUAAAUUGAAUGGUUGAGACGUUGUAUACAACAUUAUAAAUUGAAUUGAUAUGAUGUUGUACAUUUUUUUAGUCAUCAACAUACGUGUGGAACAAAACCAAUUUAUUACAUUUCUCACAUGUAAAUUGAACCGAUGUGAUUUUACAUAGAAAUGAGCUUUCUUGUGUAACAUGAGUGUCCCUUUUAUAGUCAGUUUUGUGGGAAUGAAAGAGGGACGAGUGAAAAUGAAAAACGAUGAAAGUAGAAAUGUUAAAUUUAAAAUAAGUAGCUUUUAAGUAAUUUUAAAAUAAGGGAGACGUGUGUUUGAUAGGGAUGAAAGUGGGGUGAAAGAUUUAAAAAAAUAGAUUCCCACAGCACAAUAAUUUCACAUCAAAAUUAGAUGAAAGUAGGAUAAAGUAAGUAGCACCAUUAAGAGAGAAAAAGCGCUCCUCGAUUAGUUUGAUUCGGCAGUUAUAUAUAAUCGAUUAUGUUAUAUUAAUAAUUUGUUAUAUAUAUAUAUAUAUAUAUAUAUAUAUAUAUAUAUAUAUAUAUAUAUAUAUAUAUAUAUAUAUACAAUUUGUUUUAAAAAAAUAUUUAUCAUAAAAAAAAAAAAAAUAAAGAUAUUUAAUAAUAUUAAUAAAUAUUAUUAGUAAACAAUAAUAAUAAUAUUAAAUUCAAUAUUAAUAUUUUUCUUACGUAUCUAUCUAAUACCUUUAAUUCAAAUAUUUUAUAUGCCUUUCACCAUUUUUUUUAUCUAAACUAAAAAAAAUAUUAUUUUUUACUAUUUUUAUCUUUCUUUUACAUUGAACAUUAUAUUUAAAAUUGAUGAGACUCAUUAUAUUAUUUCUUAUUUAUUUUUACUCAUUUUCCCUAUCUUUUCAACCAAACAUCUUUAUUUUUAACAUUAUUUUUCACCUAUUCCUUUUAUUUUUAUCUUCUUUAUUUUCUUUUCAUUCAUCACAACCAAUCCAAACAUAAUAUCUUUCAUCAAAUUCUGAAGUACUAUAAUAAUAAUAACUAGCCUGUUAGCUAGUGGUUAUGUGGUGAUUCGGUACCGUGGGCAAUAGGCAGUCGAGACACACUUGCAUUUCUCCUUUUGAUAAACAAAAUCGAAUUUCAAUCUUUUGUACUAAGAGAUACAGGAAUAAAUUGUAAAAAUGUUACAAAAUGAAAAUUAAUCAUUAAAAUUAUUCACGCAUAAUAAAUUAAAAAUUCAAUUAAAUAAAUUUUGAAAUCAAUAAUUUUAAAUUUUGUCUUUUACAGUAAAAUGUUAAUGUUUAGAUGGGCACAUUACUUACUCUCUUGUAUCUUCUUACAUGCAGUAUUCGCUGUAUAUACUAAGAUCCAGUCUUGAGUAACUGGUGCUCAUAUGCAACAUGAAGGCGUCUCUGUUACUGUUAUAUGUCGGUUUGAUUUUUUGUUAGGAGGAUUUAUUGUAUCUUUGUGUUGGUGGUGGUAAAAAACGACAGUGCUGUGACUGCUGUCAUCAUGUAUGUUAUCUAUGGCCAAUUCGCUGAUUAAAAAAAAAACAGUUAAAUGUUAAAACCAACGAAAUUAAUCACAUCUGACAAGGGUUUGAUUCGUUUGAAGAGAAGGUGUCGUCAAGUUCCAACAACAAUAAGUGGAGGACUUAUAAUGGGACCCGCUAUUCCACAUGCAAAAGUUAGCGUUUGAAUAAUUCUGGGGAUUCCACGAUCUUAAUUACAGUGGAAUCAAAUCGCUCAAUGGGUGUAAAAAUUUUGCUCUUAGAUCCACAGAUUGAAGGCAGCCCCACGUCAAGACCAAGACUUAACUUGUGUUCAAGCAUUAUGAUAAUUUCAUUAGCUAAGAUUCAAGUAUUCCCCCUCUACGCGAAAUCUCAUAUAUAUGACAUGCUUCUUUAGCUAAGAUUUUGUCCUAUAAGGAUGUACUAGUACUUCAACAGAUUUAAAGAAGAAAAUUAUUUAGUACUCCUGUGACUUUUUGACACAUAUAAAUACUACUUCAUGAUAAAUACUUUGAUAUAUUAUCUUUUGGACUCAAUUAAAAAUAAUUGAUUUCAUAUUUUUAAAAUAUUCUUUAUUGGAAAUUACUAUCACGAAUAAAAAGAAAUAAUUAAAAAUAAAAAUAAAAAUAAAAAUAAAUAAAUAAUAUUUUAGGAAUGUAAAAUUAGUUAGAUUUAUUUAUAUAUAAGUUUAAUAUAUAAGAUUAUUUUUUUUCUUAUACAUGAGUUUAGAUGGAGUAUCAAACUAAAAGUAUUUUUAUUUUAUUUUAUAAGAUUCAAUUAAUUAACUCAUUUGAAUAAAAAAAACUAAUUAUUUAGUUAAUAACAUUAAAUUUAUCUUAAAUUAUAUAUUAUUUUUUUAAAAUUAUUCCUAAUAUUAAUGAGACGUACUUUUAUUCUUUUUAAAAAAAUAUAUUAUUAUUAGUUUUAAUUCCUUUGAUAUAUCUCAUUAAUUAUUUAUUCUAUUAUUGACUAUGCAUAAGGAUAGUCAAUGUAAGGUUCUUAAAAUAUUUUUUAUACAAGACAAAGAUAGACUUCCAAAAAGUCUAAUACAUGAUUAACUUAUUUAUUUCAUUUACUACUAUUUAUUGAACUAAAACAACUUAUAAUUAAGAGUAUUUUUGUGCCAAAAAAAUUAAUAUAAGAGAUAUCAUGACUUGAAUUUUAUAUAUAUAAAAAAAAAGACUACACCGCUUUUAAUUUAGGUUUUAUAAUAAGAACGGAAGGAAAAAGUAAACUUGAGUUCAAAGCAUUAAUCUCUUAAAUAAUUAUGUCAAAUAUUAAAUUAAAUUAUUUCAAUAAGCUUUAAAAACAAUUUGUUUAUCAAAAGAAUUUAUAUACAGUAUUGACAAUAUCAAGUUUUUUUUUACAUUAACAUCUAAUCACGUAUUUUCAUAUAUGGUAAAAUUGUUAAUAUUUUAUAAUAAUUAAUUAAAAAAAUCAUUUCUAUACUGAUUUUUAAUUAUUUAACAACUUUUAAAAAAAUAUAUUGACGGUUUUUAAAUUAAAUUCUUAUAAAAAAAUUGCUUUAACUUAUUUUAAUAAACUUCAUAUACAACCAUAUAAAUAAAAUCUCUUUUAAUAAGAAUUUAUUAAAUAAAGAAGUUACUUAAUUUUCCCAAACAUAAAUAAAAUUUUCCCUUUUAUAUUUUUAAUCAAUAAUUAAAUUGAUUUAGUUAAUAUUAAAUUAUUUGGAUAUUUAAAAAUUGCAAAUAAAAUUAUUUCUAUCAUUUAAAUCAAUUUUUAUUUUUUAAAUUAAAAGAUUUAAAUACUAAUAUAUUUUUGCCAAAAAAUACUUCUAUUUUUAUUUUUAUAUUCAUGAAAUAAUCAGUUAUCAGUUUAAUCAUUUUUUCUUUUUAAAUGUUUUUUAUAUGAGAAUUUUUACAUAAUACACGAACUACUUGCUAAUUAUAUUUUUAUAGAUUCGUCACCUUGGCACUUCAAAGCACCAUGAGCACUAUAUAAACCACCAUCAGCACCAAAUUAUUCCCAUCUUCACAACAUUAGCAUUUUCUAGUGAUUAAGAAUAUAAACAUAUACGAUAGCUACAACAGUUUAAGAUAAGAUGGCUUCCAACACUUGUUCCUCCCUUGCUCUUUUCUUCACACUCAACCUCCUCUUCAUCGCACUUGUUUCUGCAUGCGAUUGUGGUAGUGGUUCAAGCCCUGGUCCAAAACCAAAACCAAGUCCAACACCCAACCCCAACCCAACCCUAACCCUAAGCCCGAAUUCCAAUCACAUCCUAAUCCUAACCCUAACCCUGACCCCAAUCCAAAUCCUAAUCCCAAUCCUUCAGGUGGCUUGUGCCCCCGUGACGCACUCAAACUAGGCGUAUGCGCCAAUGUGCUAAAUGGGUUGCUCAACGUGACUUUGGGCCAACCACUAGUUACCCCUUGUUGCUCCCUCCUCAGCGGUCUUAUUGACCUUGAGGCGGCAGUGUGCCUUUGCACUGCCCUCAAAGCAAACAUCCUAGGCAUCAACCUCAACCUUUCAAUCUCACUCAGCUUACUUCUCAAUGCUUGCUCAAGGCAAACCAUAUACAAUGCCAUGUAUUAGUCAGUGCACUAUUCUAACAACCCAUGGUUAUCCAAUAUUAACAUAACACAUGUAAAUAUUGAUAAACCAAAGGCUAGCAUGCCUUCCAUCUGAAGCUUAUCCAAGUGAAGAAACAAUCUAUUUAUAGCAAAAGAAUCUAUAUUUAAUUUUUUUUCAUGUGUAAAAUUUUCUUAUACUAGUGGCGUGCAAUUAUGCAUUACAAAUAUAAUUAGUCUUUGACUUAAUAGAUUGUGAAACACCGAUAAUAUGUAAUCUAAGACAAAAGAAGACAUAAUUAAUUAAUCGCAAACAUAACUAUUGGAUAAAUCAUUCAUUUUUUUAUAUCGGCUGAAUAAAUUAUUCAUGCAUUAUAAAUAAAUAGUGUAGCAAAGAUAUUUUUACACUGUUAACUAAUUAAUCACAAAAUGUCAUUGAUGUGUUGCAUUUUAUUCUAGGUUUUGCAUGUUUAUUCAUGCAGUUUUGCAUUCAUUUUGUGUUUUGAUCCUUAUAAAGGUGAAUUACUUAAGGAGAUUAUCAUGGAUGCUUGAGGUUCUAUGCUUGUGAUGACUUUAAUAUGGACGAAGAGCAUUAGGAACUAGGAACCAUGUUGAAUCUUGAAUCAAGCAAAUGAAGGACCACGAGCAACUAUGUUCCAAGAUAAAUUAAAAAAAAAAGUGACAAAUUCCACAACUAGAAGACAUGGUGUAUGUGCAUUAUUUUUAGGAUAUCUUGAGUUGUAGACAUCAAAACAACAUGAGACCAAUGCCUAAAUUUUUAGGACAAAAUUAUCUACAAUUUUUGUAAAGACACUAAGUCAAGAAUCUCACGUUCUAAAUGUGAUUUUGGUUAUGCAAGUGAUGCAUGCUGCAACACUUUGUUUCACAUUUGUUUAUUUUGUGGUUUACUUGUAAUUAACUUCAGUCCCUUUUAGGUUUUUAGAUUUAAAUAAAUUUAUUUAGAGUUUUUUUUUUUUGGAAGUUCCCCAUUACGGGAAACCGUGGGGAGGAGCAACAACACAUUGGGAUUGAAAACAAUUUGUCUUUCUUCCUCCUUCUUGGUUUGAUUGUUUUGCCCCUUUUAUUAAUGUUUGAAUUUCUUUUGGUUUGAUUCUUAUUGAUUUUAUUUGUGUGAAUUUUUGGGUCACUUGUUUGCACCUCUUAGAUAAUUUGGAAAGAACCGAAAGGUCAACCUAAUUGUUAGAACUAUAGGAAUCUGAACAUAAAAUCUAAAACGCAAAAGUAGUUUUAUGUUUUGCAGGAAGCACCUAUAAAUUAUUACCAAACUUAUUGGAUUUAAUUUAACAUAACUACUAUAAAGAUAUGGGUGAAUUUAAUUAGACACAGUCUUUAUAGGAGUCGAGAAGAAGGGUUGUUCUGGCCUCCAAUCCUAAGUCGCGUAAACCAAAGUGUCUAUAAUCCCCUAAAAGACAACCUAAAAGAGGUAUUUAGAGGUCUUGGCUCAUAAAUGAUUAAGCCCAAGUACAACAUAAAAAAAAAAUACAAAAUAACAAAUGUAUUGGAUUGCGCUCGCCCCCCAGUGAUCUUAUCUCUGGUGAUUUCGGCCUCCUAUUAGCUUCUUAACCAUGGUUGUAAUCCUAAUCACUCUUCUCCCUAUGAAUUUCUUUGCCAUGCAAGUGCAAUAAAAACCUUCCCAAUUUGGGUCUCUGAGUUCUAAUCCUUUCCAAGAUCAGUCAAACCUAAAAUGAAACAAGACAGUUACACCAUAACAAGUCCUAGAAUGGAACACGUCAACGGAAAAACACAAUGAAAUUACACUAAAAAGAGAAGAAAAAGCAUGGAAACCUAACUAGACAAUAUAGAGAGAUGACAUGAGAUGCAACGAUUAAACAACUAGAUCGGUGAUGCCAAAUUUUAUUGAAAACCAUCAGCACACAAAUAUUUUUAAAGAAUUAAAUAGGUUUGAUUUCCCCAUUGUACCCACACAUACGUAAGAACAAUUUUGAUGAGAUCAAAACAAUCUUCAAAAAAAUAUACUUACAUUCUGAAAUUCACAAUAAAAUAAAAUAAAUUAUUUUUAACAACUUAAUAAGCUAAAGGAAAAGGCAAUCAUUAUUUCAUACAUUAUGUUAAAGGAUACGUAACUGUUGAAAAAUAAUGUGAUAGAAUAUUAAUAUCUUUCUUAUGCAUAGUUAACUCCUGAAUCUAUGUCUAGGUUGAGACAUUUCAUUAGGAUGUUUUCAUAUGUUUUCUUAAUAAAAUAUGGUAGUGGCACCCAUUCUUUCAUUUGAUUCAUAGUUAGGUAUCAUGUUCUGAUCCCAAAACCUAUAAGAAAUUAGGCUUAAUUUAAAUCAACAUAUUCAAAUUACAAAUUAAUAGAAGAAUUAUAUUUUAUUAAAUUAAUUAGGUUGCUACAUAGGGUGAAGAGAAAGGAGAUUCAUACCCCAGUUGUCUCUAAAUAAUUUUUCUUUUUUCAUGUAUGUGAUUUCUGUUUUGAUUUGCAUUACUUUCACGUAUUUUUGGGGUACUCAAAUAGUCCAGGCCAUUAGUAAUAUUGGUAUUUGCAAAAACUCCUUGUGAGAAUCAUACUGUUUUUAACUUUAUUACUUGACAUGACUGGUGCCCUUUCUGUGAUCGAAAAUUGGUAUUUUACUACUACUUGUGUACCUCUAUCAAACCUUCCUCAUUUUUGUUUGGGUACAGAAACCUUCCUUAAUAAUUAUAUACGAAGAGUUUAAUUAUAUAUAUAUAUAUAUAUAUAUAUAUAUAUAUAUAUAUAUAUAUAUAUAUAUAUAUUUGUUGCAAUUCAUAUGUAAAGAAUAAAUUAUUCAGUUAUAUUUAAUUGCAAUAAGUCUUAUAUAAUUUGAUCGUAUUUUAUUAAUGACUUAUUUUUAAUAUUGUUUGCCGUUGAGGUAUUAAUGAUCAUUUAGGAAAAAUCAAAAGGAUUAGACGAUUUUUCCAUAUGCUUAAUAUGGCACUCUAUGGCUUGGCCUUUAUGGUUGAUAAGUAACAACUUUGUUUUUAAAAUGUAUCAUUUGAUUUUAUCUCUUUGUUGUAUUUGAUUGAAUUCUAGUCUUGGUCGUGGCUAUAAGGCUAUUCACUAAUGUUGGUAAGUUGUUUUUUUCCGUUCGCAAAUUGGUGCAUUAAUUUGUUGUACUAUAUGUAAAAUUUGUUGUUACUUGUUAAGGUCCAAAUUGUCUAUAGGAGACACUAUGGGAUAUAUUUUGAAAUCUAGCAUAUUUAGAAGAUUUAGAGUUUAAUUUUCGUAUAUUGUUAAUAUAAAAUUUUUUACACCGUUAAUUAAUUUAAAAUUAUUUUAGAUAUAAUUUUUAAAAUAAUUGUUAUAAAAAUUGAGAAUUUUUUUAUACAUAAAAAUUUAUAAUUGAAUGAUAUAUAAUGUACAUAAAAAAUAUCGUAAUAAAAAAUAUAUAAAUUUGUGUAUAUCUUAAUUAAAUUAUAUUGACAUUUGUUAAGGCAAAUAAUUUGCGAACUUUGCGUAAUAUAAUUUAUUUAUUUAUUUUACAAACGCAUAAUAUAAAAUUGGUUAAUGUGACUUCACGCAAUCCCCCCCAUACACACAAAUUAAGAACAUUUCACGGCCAAAACGCGUGGAAAACUUAGAUAUGAUCUUAAUAUUAAAUUUGCAAUCAGUUUAAGUCAAUAAUUUCGGACUUGUUCACAAAGGAUUGUCUAAACAAGCACUUUUUUUAAAAUGAAAAGAAUUUAGUAUAAGUGUAUAACGUUCUAAUAAUUUCAGUGCCUAUUAGUUUGUCAGACUUCUGUACCUAGUAUAGGCUCCUAGAUGAAUGUUUCGUGUUGAAAAAUGAUCAAAUUUUACAUAAUUAUUUUUUUAAAAUUUAAUAAUAAUGCACUAACACAUUAUAAAAUAUUUUUAAAAUAUCAUUCAAUGACAAUUUAUCAUUAAUCUGAAACAAAUUUAUUAAGUUAUUAUUUAUAAUAAUUUAUGAUUGUACGACAAUAUAAAAUUUUUUACAUUAUAAUUUUUUCUCUCUUUAUUAAAAAAACGUGGUUAAUUUUUUUUGUCUUGAAACAGGAUACUCUCGCCCGGCAUUACCAUUAGGAAAGUUUCUUAAUAAUUGUAUUUUUCAAUAUCUAAAUUUUGCUUGUUUUAUUGGGAUUUUUUAUAAAAUAUUUUAAACAUAAAUCUAAUUAAUACAAUUACAUACUAAUUUGCCCUUGGUUUCUUUUUCAAUCCUGAAGAUUUUAUGACGCAAAUGAAAACGACAAAAAAGAUAAGAUAGGUAUUGAAAUUAUAUUGCAUAUCAUGAAAGAAACGGAAUAUGAAAAUCUAAGAAGAAGCACAUAUAUAUAUAUAUAUAUGGGACUAAAUUACAAUACUUUCUAAGCUUUUUGCAAGUCUUUAAAGUAUUUUCUUUAAUAUAUUACACAUGGAUUUAACUAUCCAUAUUAACUAAUAGUCAUUAUUUAUUUCUCAUAUUUUCGAAGAAAAAAAUUAUAUUAUUUGAUUAUUUGUAGUUUAAUUAAAAGAAUAUAACUUAUAAAUACAGUACCUUAAAAUGUUUUUGAAAUUAUUUUUAACUAAGGUUUUUAUUUUGAUAACGAACCCCAACUUUUGAUUCUAACUUAUAUUGCGUGGAUUAUCGAAAAAAAAUUAAUUUUAAUUAUAAAAACUUUUAAGAAACUAAGCCUAAGUUUUCUUUUCUUCAAAUUCAUAAUUUAAGAAUAGCUAUUAGCCAGCCAAUUAGCUAGUGAUAAUGUGAGGAUAUGAUUAAAAAUGUAAUAAUAGCUAUUAGCCAAUUAGCUAGUGGUAAUGUGGGGAUUUGAUAGGCUGUCGUGAUACACAUUUUUCUUUUAUUUAGAAGUUAUCGGUGGGGUCUCUGGAAAUUCCAAAUUUAAACAAAAUAGAAUUUCAAUCUUAAAAAAAAAAGAGGUACACGAAAAUAAAUACUUAAAAAAAGGUAUACGAGAAUAAAUUCUAUUAAUUAUCAAUAAUUUAAAUUUCUAAUUGAAUUAUACAUAUAUAUACUAUAUUAACUCCUUAAAAUUUAUUUUUUAUUUAUAGGAAUAGAAUUCAAAUAUCCAAGAGUUUACGACAACGUACACACAUGGCUCGAUCAAUGGAAUUAAACCUCUUUGAUAUUUUUUUAUCAAUAAAUAUUAAUUAUUAGUAGUUAGUUUUUGUUAGUAAAAAUUCUCAAAUUUAUAACCUCUUUUUUUUUUCCUUCUUCUCUCAUUUUUCUUUCAUCACUAUUUCAAUCUUAUAACUCUUAAAAAAGAUUCAAAAGUUUCCCUAAUGCAAAAUUGAACUACAUACAAACACAAAGACCUCCUUGAUAUUAACUAAUUAAAAAUGAUACACUUAAUUUUUAAAAUAAUUAUUUCAAAAAUUAAUAACUUUAUCACAAACAACACAAUACACCUAUAGCUUGCUAAAAGGAACCUUGACAAAGCUGUUUUUUUUUAAUAAGGGUUCCCUCGGCCCUUUAUGUUCAAAUGAGACUGAGUCAAAUGCUCAUUUGUUCUUUUCUUAUAGGAAAUCUCUCCAAGUUUGGACUCACAUUCGUGAUUUGGCUCCUUUCCGCAAGCGUUUCACUUCUUUGCAGCGCAUUACUGACUCUUUAAUUAAGGGCAGAUCCACAGUGUUCAAGGAAAAUUUCGUUGUCUGACUAUAACAAUUAUAGUCUACUGCAUCUGGCUGUUUAAGAACAAACUGAUUUUUAAAGAUUAUCAAUUUUCUGUAAUAGAGAUUAUUAGUAAGAUUAAGUUUUUUAUAUAUAGACAAACGUACCUGUUAUAUUUGUUUUAACAUCUUGAUAUAGGCCUUCUUAUAUUAGGGAGACUUUUGAUUUUCUCUAGUUGCAGAGUAUGCCCCGUUUAUUGUUAUAUUAUUUUGGGUUUAAUAUAAUUUACAAUUUUUCAAAAAAAAAAAAAAGUGAUUGACCUAUGUGGCAUUAGAUUCAGAUCCUUUGAGCAUGCACUAAUUAAGAAACUCAAAUCCUAAAUAGCGUGCAUGAAAAAAAACUUAAUUGGGUGAAAACAAUCUGCCUAUAAAUGCCAACAAAUUAAAUGUCUUUGAAGAAAUUAAAAAUCUCGGUGAUCCACAUGAACAUUUCUUUACAAUCAUAUGCCUACAAAAACAACAUAAUACAUUUAAAUCCAAAUUUUGGUAUUUAUUUAGGCUAAACUAUCAUUUAGUUUCUCUAUUUGUUUAAUUAAUUCAAUUUGGUUUUUUUAUUAAAAAGAUUAAUUUUGGUAUUUUUUUCAAAACUGAUGCAUGUGUACCUUUCCUGUUAAUGCCAUUUAAACUUCUAUCAGAAAUAUCCUACGUGGUCAUUACAUGUUAUUAUUUUAUUGUGCUACAUAUAUAAGAAGUUAACGCCGUUUCGUACCUAUAUAGAAAUGAUAAUAUAGUAUCAAUUUUAAAAAUUAAGGAAUUAAGUUAAACUUCUUUAAUAAUAAAAAAAUCAAAUUGAAUUAAUUAAAUAAAUAGAAGGACGUGCUAAAUUAAUAAUUUAGCCAAAAGUUUAAAUGCAACCAAAUUAAUCACAUCUAACAAACAAGAAUUUGUAAAAAGUGUGUCGUCAAUUUAAAACCUUAACAGGUAAUUAUUGUCAAAACUUAUUCGACACUUAAUUUCUUUAUCAAAUCAUUAGGAUUUGAUUUUGACUUGAGAAUAGAUAGAGUCUUGUAAUAUGACUUUAUUCUCAAAUAAAUUAACCCGAUGGGUGAAAAUUUGCUGGAUGCCUAAUAGUUAGAAACCCAAAAUACUUUCCGAUUAUGCACACACCAAAAGAAAAAGUGAUACUUAUAACAAUACCCACUAUUCCACGUGCAAAAUCUCUCGGGUGGGUUUGGUUGCGAGAAAAUAAAAGAAAAAGGAAUUUUUAUAUAAAAAAAAAACAUGUAUAAUAUUUCACACUUUUAAUAUUCUAUUUUAAUUCAAAUAUUUUUUUUUACAAUUUUCUUUCUUUUUCUUCUUUUUUUCCUCGACCAAAUUAAAUCGCCCUGCAUACUCUCUGAUCCACCGAUUGAUGGAAGUCCCAACAUCACAGAUCACAAGUGUCCAAAACUUAAUUUAAGGGCUUUCCCCGCCGGCUAAAAUUCCCAUGUUCACACAAGAGCAUGUACUUAAAUUUAUGUAAUAAGUUCAAGUGUUUACUUAUAGUUUUCAGGUAUUGUAUUUAUAAGUUUGGUUAAAUUAAUUUAUUUUUAAUUCAAUUUACUCAUUAAAUUCUUUUGGGAUUCAAUUUAUUUUUUUAAUUUUUAAAAUUGAUUCAAUUUAAUUAUAUUAUCUAAAUUCAAUCAAUAAUAUUUAAAAAUUAUAUUUUAUGAUCGUUUAAAAUCACUUAAUAAUGAUUGUAAAUCAUCAUACAUUUAGAUGAAAUGAUCAAAUUUAGAUGACAGAACCACUCAAAUUAAUUUAAAAAAAGAUUAAAUUGAAUCAAUUUUUAAAAAUUUAAAAAUCAAAUUAAAUAUAAAAAAUUAGAAAAUUAAAUCAAACUAAUUUUUAAAAAAUUAAAUUGAACCUAAAAAAUAAAUUAGAAAAAAAAAUCAAUUUUACUUGUAAGUUUUAAUUAGAUCGACUACUAUUAUGUUUUGGUUCCAAUAAUCAGUUUCAGUUCACUUUUUUUUACAGCAAAUUUCGGUUCACUUUAUGGUUAUCUAACCUGAUAUUAUUCGAUUCCGGUAUCGGUUUAUAAGUUUGCAAACCCGAAUAAUCUGAUCCAAUCCAAACGCAUAUACACUGAACUUUCGUUCUAGAGCUCUGCAGCACUUCAGCACAAUCGUUUUUAUUUUUUCUCAGGGUACCAGAGCUUCUGCCAUCAUGGAUGGACACCGUGUUACUCCAAAAAUACAAGAUUGAUUUGAUGAUUGAAAAAUAAGAAUUUAAACAUAAAGGAAAAAAGAGAAGUCUCAAGAUUAAAAUUCUGCUUACCGAUAUUUUAAUAAAAUUAACAAAUUAAUUUGUUUGAUAAAAAAAUAAUAUUAGGAUGUCUCUUGAUAAGGAUCUUUGAUCUUAGUUCGCCAACCUUGACUUUCUUCCAAGCUCGUUCUCUCUCAAUCUCUUUCAGUCACGAAUGGUCGCACUAUGCAAUAACUGCAGCUACGCUAUUUUGCUGCUCCCUUCCCAUAGAGAGAUUAAUAGGGCACCCCCAUUAUCACACAAAAUUAGUGGGAUGGGUUUGGACUUGGACCGGACUCCUCUAGCCUUUUCCUUUUUUAUAUUUUCCCAUUUCUUAUAGUCAAAUGCUUAUGAGACCCUUUCUUAAUUAAGACUUUAUUUCUAGCUUUUUUUUUUUAAAAUUACUGAUUUGAAAUGUUCCACUUUUAAACUAGGAGAUAGAAUCGUUAAAUAAAAAAUAAAACUCAUUAAAAUUAAUAAUUUCUAAUAAAUUUUAUUAGAGAAUGAUAGAAAAAAAAAGAAUAAAGAGAAUAAAUUAUUACACGUGACACGUACAUAAGUUAUUAAAUUUAAUUUAAGAGAAAAUAAUUCAUAAUAUUUAAUUAUUUUUCAUUUAAAGAUUGAUUGAAAUCAUCAACAAGUGAUCAUCCGUGUAAUAAUUUUUUGCAUAUUGAAUUUAGUGACUCAAAAAGUUUCGAUAAAGAUAGGAUUAGUUUCAUUAGGGUGCUUAUAUAAAGAUCAUGAAACGUGAAGCAAUUCUGUUGUGUGUGGCUGGACGAUCAUGGUCCGGACGACCGGGGCAGACGAGGGAAAUUGUACUCAGUUAGUUGGUUAAUUUCUGUUAUAACUUCCAUAACAGAAAUAAUUAUUUUCUGUUAGAGUCUAUGGGUAUAAAUACAUUGUAUUUAUCAACUCUUGUACGUUCAUGAUUGAUUAAUGCAUAAGUCCCUCUUACGCUGAGAAUUACUUGUUGUCUCUUUACUCUCGUUUUCUUGUUUUCUCUCUCGUUUGUUGCGUCCAUCUCGAGUGUUCGUAGGCUCUGUUUUGGGUAACAGAUUGAUAUCAGAGCUCAAGGUUGGAGUUGAUCCUUGGGGGUAUUCUUUGAUCUUUGAAACAACUUCCUGAUUGUUUAACAAAGGUUUCUGCAUCAAAGAAUGGGUUCUGCGAAGUUUGAUAUCGAGAAGUUCACAGGCAAGAAUGAUUUCAGCCUGUGGAGGAUAAAGAUGAGGGUGUUGCUGGUUCAUCAGGGGCUGGAUGUUGCUCUUGAUGGGAAGAACCUCCCAAUGCAUUUGUCGAAGAGUAAGAAGAAAGAGUUGCUUGACAAGGCGCACAAUGCUUUGAUUCUUUCCCUGGGUGACAAGGUUCUAAGGGAAAUAUCAAAGGAGAAAUCUGUUGCGGUGGUGUGGCUCAAGCUGGAAAGCCUAUAUAUGACCAAAUCUUUGGCCAAUAAGUUGUUCUUGAAGUAGAGGUUGUACACGUUCAAGAUGUCAUCGGGUAAAUCCUUAGAGGAUCACUUGGAUGAUUUCAAUAAGAUCAUUCUUGAUCUGGAGAAUAUUGAAAUCAAGGUGAACAAUGAGGAUCAAGCGUUGUUGCUGCUCAGAUCAUUACCAAGUGAGUAUGAUAGCCUCUCAGACACGCUCAUAUAUGUCAUUGGAUGAGGCGAAGGCUGCCCUAUUUUCGAAGGAGUUGAAGAAGAAAUUAGAGGGAGGUGGCUAUCAGGACGCUGAAGGAUUGUACACGAAGGGCAGAAUGGAGAAGAAGGAUCCCAAGAACAAGAAGGGAUCAAGAUCGAAGUCACAUGAUGGAAGGAAAAGAAGGUGCUUUGUGUGUGGGAGUGAUGAAGAAAGAUUGCCCAGACACAAGGAAAAAGAAGCAGGGCAAUCAAAAGAGUCAGAAUGGUGAUGCGGACGUGGCUGUAGAAGGGUAUGACAGCACAGACGUCAUGUGUGUUUCAGACGUGAAGAUAAAACCAAAGUGGGUGCUGGACUCUGGGUGCUCAUUCGACAUGUGCCCUGAGAAGAACUGGUUUUGUUCGUAUGAAGAAUGCAACGGAGGCCAGGUUCUUUUGGGUGACAAUAAAGCCUGCAAGGUGGUUGGGAUUGGAGCUAUAGAGUUGAGGCUUGCAGACAGCACCAUCAGGACACUGAAGGAGGUGAGGCAUGUGCCUGACUUGAAGAGAAAUUCAAUUUCUCUUUGUAUGUUGGACAAGUAGGGGGCACACAUGCAAGGUUAAAGGCAGAGUCCUGAAGGUCACGAAGGUUCAUUAGUGAUCCUGAAAGGGAGAUUGGUGCAUGGCUUGUAUCUCCUAGAAGGAAACACAACAUCGUUCAACAUUGCGUCGUCCAGCACUAAAUCAUCUAGUGCUGCUAUUGUGACUGCACAGAUGCACUCUCAGGCAAGUCUCUGGCACAAGAGACUUGGUCACAUCAGUGAAGGAGGCAUAAGAGAACUUAGCAAGCAGAAGUUGCUUGGCAAGAAGAGUCUGGACGCAUUGGAGUUUUGUGAGCACUGCAUCUACGGCAAGGCCAAGAGGUUGAAGUUUGUUGUUGCUGAACACCAUUUGAAGGGGACUCUGGACUACAUCCAUAGCGAUCUAUGGGGGCCUACGUAUGUUCUUUCACACAGUGGAGCAAGGUACUUCCUAUCCAUCAUUGAUGAUUUUUCGAGGAAGGUAUGGGUUUUCAUCCUUAAGAGUAAGGAUGAAGUCUUUGCUAAGUUCAAAGAGUGGAAGGUGUUGGUUGAAACUCAAACUAGCAAGAAGGUCAAAAAGCUGAGGACUAACAAUCGUUUGGAGUUUUGUUCUGAUGAAUUCAAUCAGUUCUGUAAAAGGAAUGAGACUGAAAGGUAUAGAAGGAUCAAGGGAACACCUCAACAGAAUGGACUUGCAAAGAGGAUGAACCAAACGAUUAUGGAGAGAGUCAGAUGCUUGUUGUCUGACAGUAAUUGUUCGGGGCAUUUCUGGGGUGAGGCUGUGAUGACAGUCUGUUACCUCAUCAAUAGGUGUCCGUCCACUGCCACCAACAUGGUGACUCCUGAAGAGAUGUGGAGUGAUCAUUCACCCAACCUCAAGAAUUUGAGAGUGUUUAGGUGUGUGACAUAUGCUCACAUUAGACAAGACAAGCUUGAACCGAGGGCCUUGAAGUGCAUGUUUCUGGGGUACCCACAAGGAGUAAAGGGGUAUAGGUUAUGGUGCAUGGAGAAGGGGCAUGUUGUGUUCAAGGAGUCUGAAAUGUAUCACUUGAAGGAGGAUUCAAGUAAAGGGAAGGCAGUGUGGACGCAGGAGAGCGUCCAGUUAGAGGUGGAGUCUGGUGCAGGAUCGUCUAGUGCAGGAAGGGGUCGUCCACUACUUGGGUCUACAAGUGCUGAAGUGGAGCGUCCAGAGCAUGGGUCGUCUGGUGCCAGAGUCAAGACGCAAGGGGAGGAACAGGAGGCUGACAUCAUGCAUUUAGACUUGCAGGACUAUCUCUUAUCACGAGAUAAGGAAAGGAGGGUCAGCAACCCACCAAAUCGGUUUGGUUAUGCUGACAUGGUUGCAUUCACCCUCAAUGUUGCUGAGGACAUUGAGGGAAGCGAGCCGAAGAGCUAUGUGGAUGCUGUGAAUAGAAAACACUCCAAGGAGUGGACGAUUGCUAUGCAGGAAGAGAUAGACUCGUUGCACAAGAAUGACACUUGGGUGCUAGUAGACAAGCCAAAGGUGUCCAAGUUGGUUAGCUGCAGAUGGCUGUACAAGCUGAAGGAGGAAAUUCCAGGAAUGGAAAAGGCUAGGUACAAGGCACGAUUGGUGUCACAAGGGUUUACACAAAGGUAGGGUAUCAAUUACAAUGAGAUAUUCUCGCUUGUUGUGAAACACUCAUCAAUCAGGAUGGUGCUAGCCUUGGUCGUCCAGCAGGACAUGGAGUUGGAGCAGUUGGACGUAAAGACAAUUUUUCUACAUGGAGAACUGGAUGAGGAGAUCCAUAUGAUGCAACCAGAAGGCUUCAUAGAGGAGGGCAUGGACGACAAGGUGUGUUUGUUGAAGAAGUCUCUCAAUGGCCUUAAGUAAUCUCCAAGACAAUGGUACAAACGUUUUGAUACGUUCAUUGUGGAUGGGGUUGUCACAUAUCUUCUACUGUAUGUAGAUGAUAUGUUGAUUGCGUCCAGAUGCAAGGCAGAUAUUGAGGAAGUUAAAGUGCUAUUGGAAAGGGAAUUUGAAAUUAAGAAUUUGGGUGCUGCAAGUAAGAUUCUAGGGAUGCAGAUCACGAGGGACAUGGUCCAGGGAGUGUUGUGCCUGGAUCAGAGGAGCUAUGUAGCUAAGGUGCUGAAGACGUUCAACAUGGAUCAGUCCAAGGCAGUGUUGACACCCAUGGCCCAAUAUUUCAAACUUUCUCAUCAGCAUUCACCUCAGACGAAGGAAGAAGCAACAUACAUGGAGAAGGUUCCAUAUGCGAAUGCAGUGGGCAGCCUCAUGUAUUUGAUGAUCCGCACAAGGCCCGACCUGGCAUAUGCUGUGAGUUUAGUUAACAGGUACAUGGGAAAACCAGAGAAGAUACAUUGGGAAGCUCUGAAGUGGAUCUUCAGAUAUCUGAAGGGAACGUACAAGGCAUGAUUGUUGUAUGCCAAGCAUGAGAGCUCAAUGGACGAUGUGGUUGGAUUUGUUGAUUCAGACUAUGCUGGAUGCCUCGACACUAGACGGUCACUUACUGGUAUGUGUUUAAGUUCUGUGGUAACACUGUGAGUUGGAAGUGCAACCUACAGCAUGUGGUUUCACUAUCCACAACUGAAGCUGAAUUCAUUGCUCUCACUGAGGCAAUCAAAGAGGCUGUGUGGAUGAAGGGUAUGGCAACGAGCUUGUAUACUAAGGUGAAUGGUGUUAAGGUGUACUGUGACAACCAAAGUGGCAUUCACUUGGCCAAGAACCAGACGUACCAUGAGAGGACGAAGCACAUUGAUGUUAAGCUGCACUUUGUGAGGGAGGUUAUUGCAAAGGGGGAAGUAGUCGUCGAGAAGAUCCACACUAAAAACAAUCCAGCGGAGACAUCGACGAAGGCAUUACCAGGGCCUAAGUUCAAACAGUGUGUGCAAAUCAUGAAGGUUGAAGGAGCAUGACGUCCAACCAAGGUGGGGAAUUGUUGUGUGUGGCUGAACGAUCAUGGUCUGGACGAUCAGGACAGAUGAGAGAAAUUAUACUCAGUUAGUUGGUUAAUUUCUGUUAUAACUUCCAUAAUAGAAAUAAUUGUUUUCUGUUAGAGUCUAUGGGUAUAAAUACAUUGUAUUUAUCAACUUUUGUACGUUCAUGAUUGAUUAAUGCAUGAGUCCCUCUUCUGCUGAGAAUUACAUGUUGCCUCUUUACUCUCGUUUUCUCCUUUUCCCUCUCAUUUGUUGCAUUCAUCUCGAGUGUUCGUAGACUCUGUUUUACGUAACAAAUUCAAUUUGAAUAAUUUUGGAAUAAUUUAAACUUGAUUCAAUUAGACCUAAUUACACCCUAUACUAAAUCAAUUUAAUUUUGAAAUGUCAUUCAAUUUAAGUUUGUAUAUUUUACCUAUAUAUUUGCAUGAUACACUAACUACUUGCUAAUUUUUUAAUAUAUUCGUCAUCAUAUUCCCUUUGACACUUCCAAACACCAUGAGCACUAUAUAAACCCCAUCCACACCAAAUUACUCCCAUCUUCACAAACACUCUUCUUUUAAGCUCUAGCAGUUAACUAGCAAUAUUAGCAUUUCCUAGUGAAGAUGGCUUCCAAAACUUGUUCCUCCCUUGCUCUUUUCCUCGCACUCAACCUCCUCUCCUUUUCACUUGUCUCUGCAUGCGGUAGUUAUUCAUGCCCUAGUCCAAAGCCAAAGCCAAAGGCCAACCCCAACCCUAGUCCUUCGGGUUCAUCGUGCCCCCGUGACGCACUCAAGCUAGGUGUAUGUGCCAACGUGCUAAAAGGGUUGUUGAACGUGACUUUGGGUCAACCACCAGUAACCCCUUGCUGCUCCCUUCUCGAUGGGCUCGUUGACCUUGAGGCUGCAGUGUGCCUUUGCACUGCUCUCAAAGCAAACGUUUUGGGCAUCAACCUCAACCUUCCACUCUCACUCAGCUUACUUCUCAAUGUUUGCUCAAGGAAAGUUCCCCGUGAUUUCCAAUGUGCCUAAUAUAGCCUAUACACAACAUAUCAUAUAUAUAUAUAUAUAUAUAUAUAUAUAUAUAUAUAUAUAUAUAUAUAUAUAUAUAGCAUGUUUGAAAACUCGUUGAGGAUGGAGAAAUCAUGUCUGGGAUGUGUAAGCUACAACUAUUAGCUUCUUAAAAUCACAUCUAGAACAUGAAAAGUCGUAUCCGAAACAUGAAACCAAACAUGUUAAUCAUCCUAUCUACUUUUUCUUCGUGUUUGCUAGUUGUGGCUUUCCAUUUUUUUUUUUCAAAGUCUAUUGAUCAGCGUGUGAAUCUUGUACGUGCAUAGAGGGUUAACUUCUCGUUAUUCCUUCCUUUCCGUGUUCUUUAAAUUGUAAGGUUAGAGUGUUGCAAUAAAUUAAUAAAUAAGUUCCCGAUAUGCUUGCUUGUCUACGCAAGGGAACCAAAGAUGAUGAACUGUGUUAUUUGUUUGAUUGAGAAAUGAUCAUUAUAUGACAAAUAAUCGUUUGGAAAAUUAAUAAAUAUGUUGGGCACGUUUAUGAAGGGGGUCACUGAUGUAAUAGUACCAGAUUACGUAUGCAGGGGCUGAACAAAUAUGCUUGCUGGAUGCUGUGAGAUUUUAUAUAUGCUGCGUCAAUAGUUUAGGAGCUGGAGCAGAUUAUAUGUGUGUUGUGGGAUUUUGCAGGGUAGUGGUUCAUAAUGUAAAAGGGUUUGGUUACCCAUAUACCCUCUAUUAUAUAAAAUUUAUUUGGAUCAUAUAAAAAAAAUCCUUCUUAAUUUAUUUUUGCCCUUUCCUUUUGUAUUUUUGAAGAAUGAGAUCACCAACUGAUCAAAUAAAUUACUCGGCCGUUCUAUUUUACUAUCGUCCAAUUCCCUCGUCCCCAAAAAGAGGUCACUAACUGGCGACAUCCAAUUUAGUCCUCUAUUAAGGAGGAAAAAGCUGCAUACGAUUCGUUACCUUUUUUUACCAUGCAUGGUAUGAUCUAUUUAAGCCAUGCAUAAUAAUAAAAUUGUAUUUCAAGGUGUAUCUUUCGACUUAGUAGUGUUUUAGAUUUUGAUAAAGAUUAGACCGUGGACAUUAAGAAAUAGAGUUUAAUAUUCUUUUUCUGAUUCAAGUAUUGGUUGAAAAUGUAUAUUACGGGACGACAUAUUACUAAUCAAGUGUUAGUUGAAAAUGUCGGGAACACAAGAGAGUCCAUCAUAUUAUUAGUAACUUGUUGAACCAUGCAUUUCCCCUCAAUUUAAGAGAUCAAUGGAAGAAAAAACCAUCGACAUUCAAAUUACUUUUCCCGGUUAUAGUGACAAUAUAAUAAAUAAUAUAAACAAAUAAUAUAUUUUGAAUCACCUUAAUAUUAAAUGUAAAAUAUUUAUUUAUUUUAUUAAUGAUUAUUCUCCUUUAGAUAACCUUACAGGUCACCCAUUAAAUCUCUCUUUCCAUUUUUUUUAAUUAUAAGAUUUGAACUUCAAAUCCUACUUAAGGAAUUUAAAUCUAAUUUUACUCAAAUUAAUAACAUUUGUUAUUCAAACAUAUGAUGUAUUGAUUGUAUACAUAUUUUUAUAUAUUAAAAUUAUGCACAUCUAUAAAAUUUAUAUGACUAAAUUAUUGUUUUAAUUUUUUAUUUAUAGUUUUGGAGUCGGCAAAUAGAAAAUGGAGGAUUAUAUGGAGUGCUGUAUCUUGUGUUAUAUGGAACUGGAGGAACAACAUGGUGCUUAGAGGUGCAACCUUUCACCGGGAUAAAGUAAUCUAUGAAAUACUCUUUCAAAGCUGGUCGUGGAAUAGAUAGAUCUAGUGAGCACAGGAUUUUAGCUCCUUUGUACCGUGGGAAAUUGGUCCUGGGGAAUGCUUGUUAAUUUGAAAGGUAUCUUUAUUUUUGGCCUGAGUUCGUGGUGCUGAAAGCUGCGUAUCAGAUGCUUGUAGGAUUGCUUGGUGGAUUGUUUAUGGUCUGCUGCGGUUUGGCUGGAGUUGGUCCUUGUGGUGAGGUGCUGCUGUAUUUAGAGGUCAGGGGCGUUGGUGUUUGCUUGGUUAUGCCACUGGUUGGUUACGUGUGACUAGAAAUAUAUAUAUUGGGUAUAUGAUGGUCUUUAAUUUUCAUAGCUUCAAUCUUUUGAGUAUGCAAUUGUUCCUUGUACGUAUACUUCAAGCUUCAGGACUGUUUGAAGCAUAUAUAUUUUAGGUGAUUUUUGGUUCAGCUUUGUGGUUGGAUUUUCCUUUGUAUUAGCCACAAAGGACAUGUAUGUUUUAUUCUAUGUCAUGGCCCUACUUGUGCUGCUAUCUUAAUAAUAUAUGAGGUUCCAUUUGAUUAUUGAAAAAAAUAUUUUAAUUACCUUUUUUUAUUUAAUCGAUGUAAGUUGAUUUCUUUAUAAUAAAAGUUUUAAUUUAAUUCUUUAAUUUUCAAAAUCAUGUCAAAUUUUGUUAUUUUCAUCUAAUUGAUCAAAAUAUAUAAUCAUCAAAAUGGGUUACAAUCGACAAGCCACCCGAUCCAUCACAAAUUUGAAUCAGGUUGGAUUAUUUUUUUUCCAUUUCAUUUAUGUAUAAAAUAUGACCCACCUGACCUGUGCUGGGCUAUGUUGACUAGCGAACCAAAGACAUGUUAAUGCUACAAAAAAAACUCACUAGUCACACAGCACAACAAUUAUGAUUAGGCUUGACCUUUUUUUUCACUCUUUUUUCUUGAUUAAGUUAUUAUUCUUGCUUUCUUAUUAUUAAUUAGGCAAUUUUUUUUUUCCUUUUGAGCAACCCAUCUUCGACUGACUUGACCCACUUUGACAGCUAUAGGUGUUAGUGAAAUCUGACACGUGCCACUUUUACUCGUUUUAGCCACCAAUGCCAUUCUAAUCAAUUAAACAUAAAUGAUAAUAUUGAUGUAAUUUUUAAAAUUAAGGAAUUAGCUUAAAUUUUUAACAAUAAAAAGACCAAAUUGAAUAUAUAAAAUAAAAAUUGAGAAAAAAAGAGUAUUUUAGCCUAUUUAUAUUAAUAGUUUAAUUUUCGUAAAAAAAAUGCAUACAUAGACUAAUUCAAAACUUAUUUAUUAGAGUUUUAUUUUUGUUUAAUGAAGUGAUUUAAUAGUCAUUAUUUGCUUCUAUGAUUUUUGAAUAAAAAAUCUAUCAAUUAUUUUUUUAUACUUUACUUGAAAGAAUAAAAGUUAUUAUAUAUCAUCUAAAUUUUUGUUAUUAUUUUUAAAUAAGGUUUUAUUUUAAUGACCGUUUUUAUUUUAACAUAUGCAGUAUUACUAGAUUGUCGAAAUAAAUAUCUAAUUUUAAUUAAAAAAAACCUUUAAGAAACUAACGUACCGUUUGAUUUGAGUGUUUUUUUUUUCUAAAAAUAAUUUUCAUUUUCAAAUUUUUAAGAUUUAUAAAGCAUAUAUCAAAAAUAAAAUACUCUAUGGUGUUUUCAUUUCUUCAUAAAAAUUAAAAAUAUUGAUAUGUUGUUUUUAAUUUUGUGCCUAUUUUUAAAAAUAUUUUCAAAAAAAUACUUUCAAAAUUCUAAACAAAUGUAGUUUUAUUAUUAUUUUUUAUUUUCUUUAAAAAUAAAAACAGAAAACACUCCCAUCAAACACCACCGAAUUCUAAUUAGUUUUAAAUUAAUAAUUUAAUCGUUGCUAGUAUAGGCAAAAUAGCUAGUUGUAAUGUAAGGAUUUGAUUAAACAUGUAAUAAUUGCUGUUGGCCUAUUAGUUAAUGGUAAUGUGAGGGUUUGGCAGGCUGUCGGGAUAUACAUCAUCAUCAUUUUUUUUAACAGAGUUAUCGAUCGGAGUACUCUAGAAGGUCCAAAUUUAAAACAAAAUGGAUUUUCAAUCUUAUAGAGCUACACGAGAAUAAAUGCUAGUAAAGUUAUAAAUUGAAACUUAAUUAAAUAUACUGAAUAUAUAUACAUAUAUAAUAUAUCAUAAAAUUGAUCAAUUUUGUUAAUUUUUAUCGAUGAUAAUAUUUUUGUUUAAAUUUAAUUUUUAUAUGAUGUCAGUGUAAUUUUUUUAUAUUAACUAGUUAAAAAUUAUUCUACAUAAUUAUUAUAAAAAUUAACGAGCUCAUCAUUAAAAAUUUAAUGCAUUACAAUUAAAUUCUUCCUACUUUGUUGUUUAAAAUUUUAAAUCCAACCAAAUUGCUAUUGGCUCUAAUCUUAAAUGUAAAUAAAAAAAUAACUCAUAUAUAGUUAUUUAAAACAAAUAAAUUUUAACUUUUUUAAAAAAAAUUCUCCAAAACAUUUUUUUAUUUAAAUUUUAUCUCAAUAACCUCUUUAAUUCUCGUGAUAUGAAUUGCAUGACUUUCAGAAAGAAAGAAAAAAUUUCAAUAAAAAAAAGUUUCUAUUAAAAUAAUGUUUUAUAACAAUUAGCGUGUGAAGAGUAGUUUGAAUAAUGGACAUUAUUUUUUUAACAAAAUACAGAAAAUUAAAUAAAUUAAAACUCACUAAACUAUUCUGAAACAAUCAUCAUAUCCUUCAUCCGAGUGAAAUUUAACUUAAAUUUUUUAACUAAAAUAUGAAAUUUAAUAAUUGUCGCAAAAAAUUAUUUUUGGUGUAGUGACACUUUGUAGAUGAAAGAAAGUAAAGAAAUAAUUGAGAUGGGAGACUCUCAUAAAAGUGAAUCAUUCAUAUUAUUUAACAAAAAAAUUAAUUGUUAGUAAAAUAAAUGAAUAUUUGGUACUGAUAAUAUCAUAAAAAUUACCAUGAAUGUUUUUGAACAUAAAAAAUAGUAAAGAAUAUCUUACAUGAUGAUUUUGUAGAGAAGUUGUGGUCAAUUUACAGCCACAAUUAGUGAUACUUAGAAAUGGGACCCGCUAUUCCACGUGCAAAAGUUAGCAAUUGCAUAAUUCUGGGGGCUCCAACGAUCUUACGGUCGCGGAAUCAAGUUGCCCAACGGAUGCAAAACUUUGCUUCCCGCAGAUCCACCGAUUGAUGACAGUCCCUACAUCAACAAGUCACGAGCAUCCAAAAGUUAAGGACUUAAUUUUUCGCCAGCUAAAAUUCGAUCUCAUGUUCAUACAUCAUUAUUUCAUUAGCUUCAUAUUUAUUUAUAAAAUAAAUUAUGUUUAUUUUUUAUUGUCAAAAAUCAAAUACUGUACUUAAGGUAUUAUAUGUCUUUAUUCUUAAUUAAAAUUAGCAUUUCAUCUAGAUAAUUAUUCUUAAUUUUAGUUAUAAAUAAUAGUAAUUAUUAAAAUAAAAUUUUCAUUUUAUUGAAAAAUCACUCCAAUUAUUUUUAUAAUACCAUAUCUAGAUUUAAUUUAUUUUUAAGAGAAAAAUCACUCUCAUGCAUGCAUUCAUAUGUUCCUUUUAUCGGUAAUAUAUAAUACUUUUUUAUAUUUUUUAUUAAUAAAACUAAUCUAUCAUUAAUUAUAUCAAUUUUGUAAAUGUCUUUUAAUUUAAGCUUUAUAUUUUACCUAUAUCGUACAUAUAUAAUACAAGAACUACUUGCUAAUUUUUUAAUAGACUCCUCAUCAUAACCCCCUUCACUUCAAAACACCAUGAGCACUAUAUAAACUACCUUCCACAGCAAAUUACUCCCAUCCUCACAAACACUCUUCUCCUAAGCUCUAGCACUUAACUAGCAAUAUUAAUUAGCAUUUGCUAGAGAGACUAGGAGUAUAAACAUACCCCAGUUUAAGAUGGCUUCAAAAACUUGUUCCUCCCUUGCCCUUUUCCUCACACUCAACCUCAUUUUCUUCUCACUUGUUUCUGCAUGCGGUUAUACACCAUGCCCUGGUCCAAACCCAAAGCCAAGGCCCAACCCCAACCCUAACCCUAACCCUAGCCCAAGUGGCUCCUGCCCCCGUGAUGCACUCAAACUAGGUGUAUGCGCCAAUGUGCUAAACUUGGUGAACGUCACUUUGGGUCAACCACCAGUUACCCCUUGCUGCACCCUUCUCGAUGGUCUCGUUGACCUUGAAGCUGCAGUGUGCCUAUGCACUGCCCUCAAAGCAAACAUUUUGGGCAUCAACCUCAACCUUCCAAUCUCACUCAGCUUGCUUCUCGAUGUUUGCUCAAGGAAAGUCCCACGUGAUUUCCAAUGUGCCUAAGCUUAUACUAUCACAUAUCAUCUUAUAUCCUUCUUCUGCUUCGGGUUUGCUCUAGUUGUGCUUUUCCAUUUUUUAUUU
RNAcentral lists this long non-coding RNA (26383 nucleotides) under Glycine max (soybean). Its description in RNAcentral is "long non-coding RNA (GMAX_LNC000981)". Lineage: Eukaryota; Viridiplantae; Streptophyta; Magnoliopsida; Fabales; Fabaceae. The record is from RNAcentral.